UCUUAUGAUUGUUAUGUUUUAAUGUAUUUGAUGUUAAAACAUUGUAUGAUUCAGCAUGAUUUUAGUUGGUUAACAACAUGUUUUUUAUGUUUAAAUCCAUGUUGAAAAUCAUGUGUUAUUCUGGAAAUUAUUUUUUGGUCACUGCCAGUGAGACAAUCGAUUGUUCCCUUAAACAAUCGAUUGUCUGAGACGUUAAAUAUUCUGGCAGUUAUU
Molecule: long non-coding RNA, 213 nt
Filed under: Nicotiana benthamiana
Lineage: Eukaryota; Viridiplantae; Streptophyta; Magnoliopsida; Solanales; Solanaceae
Description: long non-coding RNA (NBEN_LNC005788)
Source: RNAcentral